This 71-nucleotide transfer RNA is filed under the name Loxodonta africana (African savanna elephant). It matches the Rfam family "tRNA". Rfam says of the family: Transfer RNA (tRNA) molecules are approximately 80 nucleotides in length. Their secondary structure includes four short double-helical elements and three loops (D, anti-codon, and T loops). Further hydrogen bonds mediate the characteristic L-shaped molecular structure. tRNAs have two regions of fundamental functional importance: the anti-codon, which is responsible for specific mRNA codon recognition, and the 3' end, to which the tRNAs corresponding amino acid is attached (by aminoacyl-tRNA synthetases). tRNAs cope with the degeneracy of the genetic code in two manners: having more than one tRNA (with a specific anti-codon) for a particular amino acid; and 'wobble' base-pairing, i.e. permitting non-standard base-pairing at the 3rd anti-codon position. The record is from Rfam by way of RNAcentral. Lineage: Eukaryota; Metazoa; Chordata; Mammalia; Proboscidea; Elephantidae.
GCAGUGGUGGUUCAGUGGUAGGAUUCUCACCUUCCAUGUGGGAGACCCAGGUUCAAAUCCCAGCCAGUGCU